AAACUUUCAACAAUGGAUCUCUUGGUUCCGGGAUCGAUGAAGAACGCAGCGAAAUGCGAUAACUAAUGUGAAUUGCAGAAUUCCGUGAAUCAUCGAGUCUUUGAACGCACAUUGCGCCCCCUGGUAUUCCGGGGGGCAUGCCUGUCCGAGCGUCAUUGC
RNAcentral lists this ribosomal RNA (159 nucleotides) under Aspergillus leporis. RNAcentral's name for it is "5.8S ribosomal RNA". It matches the Rfam family "5.8S ribosomal RNA". From Rfam's summary of the family: 5.8S ribosomal RNA (5.8S rRNA) is a component of the large subunit of the eukaryotic ribosome. It is transcribed by RNA polymerase I as part of the 45S precursor that also contains 18S and 28S rRNA. The record is from RNAcentral. Lineage: Eukaryota; Fungi; Ascomycota; Eurotiomycetes; Eurotiales; Aspergillaceae.